Molecule: long non-coding RNA, 2089 nt
Filed under: Elaeis guineensis (African oil palm)
Lineage: Eukaryota; Viridiplantae; Streptophyta; Magnoliopsida; Arecales; Arecaceae
Description: long non-coding RNA (EGUI_LNC000939)
Source: RNAcentral
CAUGCGUUAUAUAUGCAUUGCAUCAACCUGGCAUCAGCUAAGAUGAUACAUUAAAUUAUCGGCCUAAAUGAUGUGAUCAUAAUCUAAAUACAAGUUAAUAAAAGGACAAAUGAGUGACCAUUAUAUACCAAUGACCUUCUACUUCAUUUCAUAAUUAGGAGGUCAUGGAACAUACUCUUUUUUCUUUCAUCUACUUCACGAUGUUGAUUGAUGAAUUCACUGGUACAUCGUGCUACUUGACCAUUUUUAUUUUUCACGAUAUGUAAUGUAUUCUCGGUCUAUUCUGUACAGAUCUGGUACAGCCUUUAUAAUCUAUAUGAGCCAAUAUAACUAUAUGAGCAUUAAUUAAGCCUCAGAUAUACUAUCGAAAAAGACCCUAAAACAAGUAUAUUUCUUGUGUCGACAUCUUCCUAUCUUUUUUUUUUUUUCCAACCAAAAUUUUGAAGUGUAUUACCCAAAAAACAAAGAUAGAUGCAGUUGCCAGUUGAUAAAGUCUAAAGGCGCAUUUGGUGAUCCAAUUUGGAUCACCAUGAUGAUCUAAGAUCACUGAUUAUCCAAAUCCUAGGAUAAUCUAAUUUUUAGUGAUCUCAUAUCAUGAUGUUUGAUUUGCCAUAGUAUAGUGAUUAAAGAUUUCCAGAUAUGUACAAGUUAUUUGUUUGGUAUACUACGGAAAUUCAAAAUUACUGACCAUAUAAUAUCAAAAAUAUUCUUGACAACUUAUUUAGGAGUUGGGAUUGAGGAUUGGGAUAGAGAAAAUUUUAGAACAAAAUCAAAUAGAUAUAUUUUUUUUUCUAAUUAGUACGAUGAAAGAAGGAAGAGAAAGAAGAAUUUUCUUCUCUUCCAUGAAAAUGACGCCCCAAGUACCUGCAUGCAUUCCUUCUCUUUUGUAGACAAGACGACACCUCAACUAUCCACUCCACGUGUGCAAAAAAAAAUAUCACAGUAAACAAAAUAAUUUUCUUUGAAAGUUUUUUAAUCUUGAGGAUAUUUUGGUUAAUAUAUUUUAAUAUAAGAUCAUCGUAAUGGAGUGAUGUUGGAUAUCCAUCCUCAAGAAUGGAUUUUCUAUUAUCGCACUGGACAGUGAUUUGAGAAGCAGGGAUGAUUUGAAAUCACCGUCACGUAGAAUCAUUAUAGUGUAACCAAACAUGAUGACCUCAUCAUCUCCACCUACAUCACUCCUGAUCCUGGAUGAAUCAUCCCAUACCAAACACCUCCUGAUAAAGAAGAAGUAUACUCAUAUGACUGAUAUGCAAAAAAUCUAUCAGUAAUGCUAUGUUAUCUCACCUAGAGCCACUUUCUCUAAAAAACCAAAAGCCAAUGUCCAAUUUCAAAUUUCAAAUAAAAAAAUAAUAGCACAAUUUACUAUAAACACUCCACUCCACCUGAAAAUGUGAUUAUUAUGUAUAUUGCUCUCAUGUAUUCACAUUUAAAAAGGUCAUCAGUGGCGUGUAUACUUAGGGCCCACUCUUUAGAGGAUAAAUAACUUAUCUAAGAAUCUCUAUUUUCUUUGAUAAAUAUUUUUUAGAUAAUAUUUAAAUAAAAAAAUUAUUUAUUCAUAUCCUUUUAUGGAUUGGUAAAUAAUUUUGGUAUCUAUUAUUUAUGUUCUUUUGCAUUACUAUUUUUUUAAAUAAAUUACUCAGAUCUAUUCAUAUUUCACAAAAUAUUUUUUAUUAUAUAAAUAUAUAUAUUAUAUAUUAUAAUUUAUAUUAUAUUAUAUAUCAUAUAGGAACGGAUCCUUAAGAAAUUCUAGCAUGUUUGUAAUAAUCAAUGUUCUUCAUAAAUUCCAAGAUAGUUUCAUAAAUCAUAAUGGGAUUGAGUAACAUUUCAAGAUAGAAUGAGUUUUCACUUUGACGUGAUAUUAAGUACAUAUUCCUCUUCCUGUGUUGUAUACGCAUUGCAUCAACCUGGCAUCAGCUAAGAUGAUACAUUAAAUUAUCAUCCUAAAUGAUGUGAUCAUAAUCUAAAUACAAGUUAAUAAAAGGACAAAAGAGUGAUCAUUAUACCAAUGACCUUCUACUUCAUUUCAUAAUUAGGAGGUCUCGGAACAUAUUCUUUUAUCUUUCCUCUACUUCACGUUGUUGAUUGAUGA